CCUACGGGUGGCUGCAGUGGGGAAUAUUGGACAAUGGGGGGAACCCUGAUCCAGCCAUGCCGCGUGUGUGAAGAAGGCCCUCGGGUUGUAAAGCACUUUCAGUGAGGAAGAACGCCUGGUGGUUAAUACCCAUCAGGAAAGACAUCACUCACAGAAGAAGCACCGGCUAACUCCGUGCCAGCAGCCGCGGUAAUACGGAGGGUGCGAGCGUUAAUCGGAAUUACUGGGCGUAAAGCGCGCGUAGGUGGCUUGAUAAGCCGGUUGUGAAAGCCCCGGGCUCAACCUGGGAACGGCAUCCGGAACUGUCAAGCUAGAGUGCAGGAGAGGAAGGUAGAAUUCCCGGUGUAGCGGUGAAAUGCGUAGAGAUCGGGAGGAAUACCAGUGGCGAAGGAGGCCUUCUGGACUGACACUGACACUGAGGUGCGAAAGCGUGGGUAGCAAACAGGAUUAGAUACCCCAGUAGUC
This 465-nucleotide ribosomal RNA is filed under the name Vreelandella stevensii. RNAcentral's name for it is "partial 16S ribosomal RNA". It matches the Rfam family "Bacterial small subunit ribosomal RNA", at positions 338 to 795 of the family's 1533-position model. Lineage: Bacteria; Pseudomonadati; Pseudomonadota; Gammaproteobacteria; Oceanospirillales; Halomonadaceae. The record is from RNAcentral.